This 253-nucleotide ribosomal RNA is filed under the name uncultured bacterium. RNAcentral describes it as "partial 16S ribosomal RNA". It matches the Rfam family "Bacterial small subunit ribosomal RNA", at positions 524 to 776 of the family's 1533-position model. The record is from RNAcentral.
UACGUAGGGGGCAAGCGUUGUCCGGAUUUAUUGGGCGUAAAGAGCGUGUAGGCGGCUAGGUAGGUCCGUUGUGAAAACUCGAGGCUCAACCUCGAGACGCCGAUGGAAACCAUCUAGCUAGAGUCCGGAAGAGGAGAGUGGAAUUCUUGGUGUAGCGGUGAAAUGCGCAGAUAUCAGGAAGAACACCCGUGGCUAAGGCGGCUCUCUAGUACGGUACUGACGCUGAGACGCGAAAGCGUGGGGAGCGAACAGG